Molecule: transfer RNA, 65 nt
Filed under: Leptogaster cylindrica
Lineage: Eukaryota; Metazoa; Arthropoda; Insecta; Diptera; Asilidae
Description: tRNA-Thr
Rfam family: tRNA
About the family: Transfer RNA (tRNA) molecules are approximately 80 nucleotides in length. Their secondary structure includes four short double-helical elements and three loops (D, anti-codon, and T loops).
Source: RNAcentral
GUUUUAAUAGUUUAAUUAAAAACAUUGGUCUUGUAAAUCAAAAAUAAGGCUUAACUUUUAAAACU